GGGGCCGUAGCUCAAUUGGUUAGAGCAUCGGACUGUCGAUCCGAAGGCUGUGGGUUCGAGUCCCAUCGGCCUCG
Molecule: transfer RNA, 74 nt
Filed under: Coxiella sp. DG_40
Lineage: Bacteria; Pseudomonadati; Pseudomonadota; Gammaproteobacteria; Legionellales; Coxiellaceae
Also listed under: 2 other names
Description: tRNA-Asp
Rfam family: tRNA
About the family: Transfer RNA (tRNA) molecules are approximately 80 nucleotides in length. Their secondary structure includes four short double-helical elements and three loops (D, anti-codon, and T loops).
Source: RNAcentral